CUCAGGAUGAACGCUAGCUACAGGCUUAACACAUGCAAGUCGAGGGGCAGCAUGAACUUAGCUUGCUAAGUUUGAUGGCGAACCGGCGCACGGGUGAGUAACGCGUAUCCAACCUGCCUUAUACAGGGGGAUAACAGUUGGAAACGACUGCUAAUACCGCAUAAGCGCACGGUAUCGCAUGAUACAGUGUGAAAAACUCCGGUGGUAUAAGAUGGACCCGCGUCUGAUUAGCUUGUUGGUGAGGUAACGGCCCACCAAGGCGACGAUCAGUAGCCGGCCUGAGAGGGUGAAACGGCCACAUUGGGACUGAGACACGGCCCCAAACUCCUACGGGAGGCAGCAGUGGGGAAUAUUGCACAAUGGGGGAAACCCUGAUGCAGCGACGCCGCGUGAGUGAUGAAGUAUUUCGGUAUGUAAAACUCUAUCAGCAGGGAAGAUAAUGACGGUACCUGACUAAGAAGCACCGGCUAAAUACGUG
Molecule: ribosomal RNA, 478 nt
Filed under: uncultured bacterium
Lineage: Bacteria
Description: bacterial SSU rRNA
Rfam family: Bacterial small subunit ribosomal RNA
Source: RNAcentral